This is a non-coding RNA of Carlito syrichta (Philippine tarsier), 66 nucleotides long. NCBI's taxonomy places the organism in Eukaryota, Metazoa, Chordata, Mammalia, Primates, Tarsiidae. The record is from Ensembl.
GGUAGAAUGGCUGAUAAAGCAUUAGGCUGUAAAUCUAAAGAUAGGGGUGAAGCCCCCUUUUUACCA